This is a transfer RNA of Pichia membranifaciens, 72 nucleotides long. It matches the Rfam family "tRNA". Rfam says of the family: Transfer RNA (tRNA) molecules are approximately 80 nucleotides in length. Their secondary structure includes four short double-helical elements and three loops (D, anti-codon, and T loops). The record is from Rfam. Lineage: Eukaryota; Fungi; Ascomycota; Pichiomycetes; Pichiales; Pichiaceae.
GGGAGGUUAGUGUAGUGGUUAGCAUACCACCCUUCCAAGGUGGUGACAUGGGUUCGAAUCCCGUAUCUCUCA